Molecule: ribosomal RNA, 367 nt
Filed under: uncultured bacterium
Lineage: Bacteria
Description: bacterial SSU rRNA
Rfam family: Bacterial small subunit ribosomal RNA
Source: RNAcentral
ACGGAGGAUCCAAGCGUUAUCCGGAAUCAUUGGGUUUAAAGGGUCCGUAGGCGGGUUAAUAAGUCAGUGGUGAAAGCCCUACGCUCAACGUAGGAACGGCCAUUGAUACUGUUAGUCUUGAAUUAUUAGGAAGUAACUAGAAUAUGUAGUGUAGCGGUGAAAUGCUUAGAGAUUACAUGGAAUACCAAUUGCGAAGGCAGGUUACUACUAAUGGAUUGACGCUGAUGGACGAAAGCGUGGGUAGCGAACAGGAUUAGAUACCCUGGUAGUCCACGCCGUAAACGAUGGAUACUAGCUGUUCGGAGCAAUCUGAGUGGCUAAGCGAAAGUGAUAAGUAUCCCACCUGGGGAGUACGUUCGCAAGAAUG